Marasmius oreades (fairy-ring Marasmius) is the source of this 93-nucleotide non-coding RNA. The record is from the annotation of a RefSeq genome assembly. NCBI's taxonomy places the organism in Eukaryota, Fungi, Basidiomycota, Agaricomycetes, Agaricales, Marasmiaceae.
GGUCCAAUAGUGUAGCGGUUAUCACAGUGGAUUUUGAGUACGCAGUUUGAUGUCAGACUUCCAUUAACCCAGGUUCGAUUCCUGGUUGGACCU